RNAcentral lists this ribosomal RNA (253 nucleotides) under uncultured bacterium. RNAcentral's name for it is "partial 16S ribosomal RNA". It matches the Rfam family "Bacterial small subunit ribosomal RNA", at positions 524 to 776 of the family's 1533-position model. The record is from RNAcentral.
UACAGAGGUCUCAAGCGUUGUUCGGAUUCAUUGGGCGUAAAGGGUGCGUAGGCGGCGCAGUAAGUCGGGUGUGAAAUCUCGGGGCUUAACUCCGAAACUGCAUUCGAUACUGCCGUGCUUGAGGACUGGAGAGGAGACUGGAAUUUACGGUGUAGCGGUGAAAUGCGUAGAUAUCGUAAGGAAGACCAGUGGCGAAGGCGGGUCUCUGGACAGUUCCUGACGCUGAGGCGCGAAAGCUAGGGGAGCAAACGGG